UUUGAAAAUAGCUUUUAAUAAUUUAUAAUACAGCUCUAACUUUAAAAAAAGCAGAAGACAAACAAUAAAUAAAAAAAAUACAGGUUGUGCUUGACCGAGUGUCUGAGAUCCCAUUUUGCUCCAAUCUUCAAGCUGCUGCAUUUCAGCAACAUCCCUGCAUCUCAGCAGUAAACAAUCUGCAAAUAUUGCUGCCUUCAGACAGGUCACUCAGCACAUUUUAAAGCAGGCUCCUUGUUUACUGCUCAGAUUAUCUGCAAUGUGCUUUUCUGCUCCUCACAGUGUCAGGACCUGAUACACAGUUUGCAAAUAUUAUGUAAAGGAAAUAAUUCUCAAUGGCAAACAAUUACAACCGAGUGUAAAACAAGAGACUGGCUGGGGGUGGGAGAGCAGGGCAGAGGUUUGGUGUCUGUGUGUGUGUAUCUAUAAAGGGUUGGAGGGGGGAGGAAUGGGGAGUAAGGAAAAGCAACUGUAUAAAAGAGCAUUUUUACCAGACAAUGUCAUAGUCUCAGUGACAUGUAAUGAUGUUUAAAUACCUUUGCCAUUUUCCCCUGGUGAUUGCUGCACUGGGUGUGUUCUGUGGGCCUAUAGAGAUAUGUUUUUCAAAAAUCAGGAUGGAGUGAAUGCCGUUCGUUGUUCUGGCUGCAAAAUGUCAAACUGCAGUGGAAAGAAAUACAGCAUUGCAGUGGUGGUGCACUGAGGCCCCCGGUAGGAAAGCAGGAGCUAUUAAGUGGAAAAUUCCUGCAGAGGACGUGUUUCCAUUUCUAAUGCGAAGAAAGAGGGUGUUGUUUGAGGCUGGCAGGUCUGUGGAAAAUACAGAAAACACAGGGAAGAUGAGAAAAUGACCUCAUUGAACUCUGAGAACUUAAGCAAACAAACAGCUUCAGCCAACAUACCACAUUCUUCUGCCCAAACAACAAAUUGACCUUAAAGUACAACCAAAAAGAAGACCUGGAAAUCUGAAAAUAUGCAGAAUAACAAUCCAGCAAAGAAUGGAUACAUUUCUUGGAGAAUGGGCAGUAGCUGCCAGUAUCUUUGUCUACUUGUUCUGGCCAUUCUCACUUUGGAGUACUCAGGACUCUGGAUCAAGGCUAAAUGGUGGUGGGAAAGGUGGCCUGCUCCAGAAGCAGUGGUGGGAGUCACUGCACCCGAGUACCUGCCUGUGCUGGCUGCUGCUCCACACGCUCCAGGGUAAGUGUAGUUGCCUGUCAGGCUUCUCUGUGCCCUUAGAAGAUGCAGUUUGCAGUGUGCCCAGUGCUGCAGUGCCCUGCUCUGGCACAGCUGGCAGGGGCCCUGCCCUGCCUGACCCAGAGCAGCAGGGCUGGCUCCCACAGCCAGAUGUGGCACAUUGUGGAGACCAAAAUAUCAGCCAAGUCCUUGGUGUCCUUGGUACUCUCCCCAGCACCUUGACCUGUGCUAGCCAGGGAAGCUGUGAUUUGGCCAUGGCUUGGUACUUCAAACUGCAACAAAUUGCUGCCAAUAAUAAUUAAAAAAGGAG
RNAcentral lists this long non-coding RNA (1495 nucleotides) under Zonotrichia albicollis (white-throated sparrow). RNAcentral's name for it is "lncRNA (ENSZALG00000012325.1)". Lineage: Eukaryota; Metazoa; Chordata; Aves; Passeriformes; Passerellidae. The record is from RNAcentral.